Non-coding RNA from Gymnogyps californianus (California condor), 618 nucleotides. NCBI's taxonomy places the organism in Eukaryota, Metazoa, Chordata, Aves, Accipitriformes, Cathartidae. The record is from the annotation of a RefSeq genome assembly.
AUGCACCUUGGAUAUCUCGUCCUCACUGUCUUCCUGGGGCAACUGCUGGGCACCACGGGGCAGAUCACCGUCACCCAGCAAGAAGGACAAGUCACAGUGAAGCAGGGAGACACCUUCCAAACAACCUGCACAUACCAGGCCCCUGACUUCAGAGGCUUGCUCUGGUACCAGCAGAGGAAAGGCCAAGGUCCCCAGCUGCUCUCGUUUCAGGCAGCAGCUGGCCGCAAGCCGAGCGGCCGUCUCACCACGUCGCUGAACACCACAGGGAAAUACAGCCUCCUGCAGCUGGAGGAAGUCGAGGUCUCUGACAGUGCCUUGUACCUCUGUGCUGUGCAAGACACCCUGGUGCAGGGAGCUUCCUUGGCUGUGCAAGAAGCCAGGGGAGGGCGGGCCUACCGCAUUUCUGAGCCUCUCCGCAGACUCUCUGGGAAUGAAGCAGCAUCCCCAGUAGAAGAAGAAAGGACUAAGGAGCUCUUACUACCAUUUGGACGUACACAAGUUCAUGGGAUCACUUGGGAUGCAUCCAAGGGUGUUCAAGGAGCUGACUGGACAGUCCCUGCUCAGCCUCUGGAAGGAAGAUGGAGCAAAUACUCUCAGAAGCCAUUCCUAAACUCAUGA